UUUUCGAAUGAUGAAAAACAACAAUUUGAUAUGCUCUCGAGUCCUGAGCGCACAUGUUGAACUCUAAACUUAGCUCGGUUGAGCGGGAGUUUUAUAUGAAAUUAAAUUAAGUAGCUGAAGAAAAAAAUUCU
This 131-nucleotide small nucleolar RNA is filed under the name Piliocolobus tephrosceles (Ugandan red Colobus). RNAcentral describes it as "small nucleolar RNA snoR16 (ENSPTEG00000001245.1)". It matches the Rfam family "small nucleolar RNA snoR16". Lineage: Eukaryota; Metazoa; Chordata; Mammalia; Primates; Cercopithecidae. The record is from RNAcentral.